UGAGGAAUCUUGCGCAAUGGGGGCAACCCUGACGCAGCAACGCCGCGUGAGUGAGGAAGGCCUUCGGGUCGUAAAGCUCUGUCGGAUGGAAAGAAACGGAUGCGGGUUAAUAGCCUUCAUCCCUGACGGUACCAUCAGAGGAAGCACCGGCUAGCUCCGUGCCAGCAGCCGCGGUAAUACGGGGGGUGCAAGCGUUGUUCGGAAUCAUUGGGCGUAAAGCGCGUGUAGGCGGCUUGGUAAGUCAGGUGUGAAAGCCCUGGGCUCAACCCAGGAAGUGCAAUUGAAACUGCCUUGCUUGAGUACGGGAGAGGAAGGCGGAAUUCCUGGUGUAGAGGUGAAAUUCGUAGAUAUCAGGAGGAACACCGGUGGCGAAGGCGGCUUUCUGGCCCAAUACUGACGCUGAGACGCGAAAGCGUGGGGAGCAAACAG
Molecule: ribosomal RNA, 429 nt
Filed under: uncultured bacterium
Lineage: Bacteria
Description: bacterial SSU rRNA
Rfam family: Bacterial small subunit ribosomal RNA
Source: RNAcentral